Molecule: non-coding RNA, 322 nt
Organism: Pelobates cultripes (western spadefoot toad)
Lineage: Eukaryota; Metazoa; Chordata; Amphibia; Anura; Pelobatidae
Source: the annotation of a GenBank genome assembly
CGCCACUGUUGUUUGGUAAAAUCGAGUUUCAGUUCGUCUGACCACUUCAGGGUGUAACUAGGGGGGUUUGCGGGAACGUAUCCCUGAGUGUGGAGUGGAGAGAGGAGAGGAUUUUCUUUUUUGGCGAUAGUGUAGUGCAUAUUUGUUCAAACUCGGUAAGGGGUCUGUUACCUUUUGGAAGUAGUGUCUGAGUGUUAAUGAAAUGUUUCAUCUGAUUGUAGUAGAAAUACUGGUUCCCUGUGUGGGAUUUGGAGGAGGUAAGUUCUUGCAGGGAUUUUAGUUUGCCAUCGCUUAGUGCGUCCAUAAGUUUUAGGAACGGGCC